RNAcentral lists this ribosomal RNA (490 nucleotides) under uncultured bacterium. Its description in RNAcentral is "partial 16S ribosomal RNA". It matches the Rfam family "Bacterial small subunit ribosomal RNA", at positions 30 to 507 of the family's 1533-position model. The record is from RNAcentral.
AUUGAACGCUGGCGGCAUGCCUUACACAUGCAAGUCGAACGGAAGCAUGAUGAGGCUUGCUCGAUUGAUGGAGAGUGGCGCACGGGUGAGAAAUACAGCGGAACGUGCCCUGUGGUGGGGGAUAACUAGUCGAAAGAGUAGCAAAAACGGCAAACGUACUGAAGGGGAAGGUGGGGGAGUGAAAGGCCGCAUGCUAUAGACGCGGACCAGGUCUCAUUAGCUAGUUGGUGAGGUAAAGGCUAACCAAGGCGACGAUCAGUAGCUGGUCUGAGAGGGGGAUCGGCCACACUGGAACUGAGACACGGUCCAGACUCCUACGGGAGGCAGCAGUGGGGAAUCUUGCGCAAUGGGCGAAAGCCUGAUCCAGCAAUGCCGCGUGUGUGAUGAAGGCCUUCGGGUCGUAAAGCUCUUUUGUCCGGAAAGAAAUGGUGUUUGUUUAUACCUGCGCGCCUUGACGGUACCUGAACAGAAAGCACCGGCUAACUACGUG